RNAcentral lists this ribosomal RNA (478 nucleotides) under uncultured bacterium. RNAcentral describes it as "partial 16S ribosomal RNA". It matches the Rfam family "Bacterial small subunit ribosomal RNA", at positions 28 to 523 of the family's 1533-position model. The record is from RNAcentral.
GACGAACGCUGGCGGCGUGCUUAACACAUGCAAGUCGAACGGUAAGGCCCUUCGGGGUACACGAGUGGCGAACGGGUGAGUAACACGUGGGUGAUCUGCCCUGCACUUCGGGAUAAGCCUGGGAAACUGGGUCUAAUACCGGAUAGGACCACUGCCUGCAUGGGUGGUGGUGGAAAGCUUUUGCGGUGUGGGAUGGGCCCGCGGCCUAUCAGCUUGUUGGUGGGGUGAUGGCCUACCAAGGCGACGACGGGUAGCCGGCCGGAGAGGGUGACCGGCCGCACUGGGACUGCGAUACGGCCCAGACUCCUACGGGAGGCAGCAGUGGGGAAUAUUGCACAAUGGGCGCAAGCCUGAUGCAGCGACGCCGCGUGAGGGAUGACGGCCUUCGGGUUGUAAACCUCUUUCAGCACCGACGAAGCGCAAAUGACGGUAGGUGCAGAAGAAGGACCGGCCAACUACGUGCCAGCCGCCGCCGUAA